Molecule: long non-coding RNA, 665 nt
Filed under: Phasianus colchicus (ring-necked pheasant)
Lineage: Eukaryota; Metazoa; Chordata; Aves; Galliformes; Phasianidae
Description: lncRNA (ENSPCLG00000008463.1)
Source: RNAcentral
CGACACGGUUCUCAUUCCAUCCCAAAUUCAGGCAACUGACUUCAAACGGAGAGCGGGGUUUGCAGGGGCCUGGUGUGCAGACAAGAUCCGUGCUUCGGACUUCAGCUUUAGAAAGAAAAUAUUUUAGACAUCGUCAAGGAAACCUGGUGAAGGCACUGAGUUGGCCAACUGUGCCUGCGGGCAGCCUGGAGCAAAGGUUCUGAGAUGUGCAAAUCAGAACGCAAAUGGGUUUAUUUUUUUCUCCAGCCCGGCGUUGUUGCAGAGGAGGAGAGUGGCAUAGGAUGGCUCCAAAGAAAAGAGGGCUGCGUCAAAAAGAAAACCUCCUGCCAUGUCAGCUUGCCCAGACCUUUCUGUGAGACAGCCUUUCCCAGCUACGUUAAGGGCUGCUUCUUGUGGACUGGAAGUAUUGCCAAAGAAGUGCCUCAUAAAUCACCGCUGACUGCUGGGAUCGCUUUGGCCUCUCUUCCCCAUCGUCCUGUCUGCAGAAAUGGGCUGCACGUUUCCACGUGGAUUGGGUCUGAAUUGGUUGUCUGAACCCAGAGAUUAAAGAAACAGCAACCUCUUUCUCUCCUAUAACUCAUUUGUUUCAUAAAGGCUAAAAAUGGCAUCACCUAAUACAGUGCAAUAAUCUUCCCUUCCCUCCCCUCCCCUCCCCUCCCCUCCCC